GGGGAGGGGGGUGCAGCAGAUAGGGGUGGGUCGUCAGUUUUUGAGCUCUUGCAUUGGUAAAGGUGGGUCGUUCAAUUUUCAGCUACCCAUGGGGGUGGGUCAUGCUAUUUCAUAACAGGAAUUGGCACACAUUUGAGAAAUCGACAACGAAGGUAACUCCUUCCAGUUCCAAAUUAAGAACGAAAACUUUUCGAGCCGUGGCUGAAAAAGUACACUUGGCUGGUGUACAACAGAGAUGGUAAUAUGACUUAAAGUUACAAGAGCAAAGGAAAACAAUAUUAUUUUAGAUCAUUUGGUAUUAUUGUUAAGAGCUAAAUCUAAAACGUAAAUAAUUAUAAUACCACCACCUUUUGAAAUGCUCCGGCCCACUUCCCCCAUGUACUUUUUGAGAAGUCCGUAACCACGAUCUCUGAUGUUGUUUGCAGAUGUAACGGUUACACCUUUUUCGCCACUGCAUCACUCCACCCCCAAAAAGAAAGGGGCAUGCGAAGAGAAAAUAGAUCUGGAGGUAUCAGUCAACAGCAUAUUCCUGUGUUAGUUUAUUGAAGAAAUUAAUGGUUUUUUGGGCUCAUUACUAUACAAGACCAGUAAGUUUGACGGAGGAACUAAAUCCUGUUUUUUAGAUGACUCCAUCUACAGAGGAGAGGUACAGGCAGAUGACGCCUCUCAAAAGAGAAGCUUUUAAAUUGGUCAGUGCCAUUGUUAAUUACAAUUUACUAAAAAACAUAACUUCGAAAUGCCCAACAAAAAAAAAACGGACCAUCCAACUAGCUAAUGGAAUUCUUGAUGGAGGGCUGACUAACUGACCGACAACCGACCAGCCGAACGGUCGACCAACGGACUGUCUGACCGAUUGACAAACUAACUACUAACCUAACUGGUUGGGCUACCUGUGAAUUCAAACCAACUUUCUAUUUGCAUUCUCUUUCUUAAGGGUUAUUCUUCUGCCAUGAGGCUGAAACGCUCCAGGUGUACUAGAGAUAUCUUUUCAGAUUCAGACUUGACUGUAGACGAAACAAGUGAUGAAGAGUCCGAGGUGUCAACUGAGCGAAGCGACGAACCAGGAGAAGAUAAUGGUAAUAACUUCAGUUAGAAAACUGCUCAUAAUGUAUGCAAUUUACCAGAGUUAUGGUUAACUUGAUAUCCACAUUGUUCUGAAGUUAACUGGGUUUGCACACUUUGGUCAGUAAAGGCGCGUGAUGUGUUUUAUUAUGGGAAAUGUUAAGGUUCGUUUGUUUCCGUUUUCCUCAUGUACCACAGAGGCUGCAAUGUCAGCUGAUGAACAGAGCGAGGAACCAGGAGAAAAUGAUGGUAAUAAUGUUAGUUAGAAAAUUACUCGCAGUGCAUGCAAUUCAGUAGCAGAUGGGGAUACAGUUACCGGUAUCUUUAUAAACACUUUUUUAAAGCGUAGUUUGGUCUAAAAUUGCUUAUGAAUUCUAUCAUGGAAAAUUGCACGCGUUUUUUUAAGUAACUGUUUUGUUUUAUAAACUUUAAUGGAACUUCUGAAUGACAAGCUUUUAUCGUUUUAUGUCAGGUACUGGACGUUUUUCUUUUGUAGCUGGGGCUAUUGGCGUCACAAAGAGAAUCCAUAAAGGUAUAUAUGCGUCAUUGCAAAUGCUACUCGUAACAAUACCACGAGGUUCCAGUACGUUAACCGCAACUCCUUUCCCACUUUAUACUUAGGAAGUGGCAGUAGUGAUGUUUGUCUAUUGUGCCGAGAAAGCUCACCUCCAGGAAACAAAAAGGGAGCAAUCGACUGGGUUGAGUGUACCGACUGCCUUCAGUGGUACCACUUGUAGUCGAUGUGCAGGCUUGAAGUCCGAGCCACCUAGUGACUGGUGUUGCAGCGACUGCUUGCUGGAGAAAAUGGCAUAGUCAAGAUGUGCUGAUAUCAAAUAAAAAUAAAAGAGUGAACAGGGUUAAUUUUGUCUUCUUCCUGUCUUACGUAUAACUGCUAAGUCACCCCCUUCCCACAAAAGUGCGCAACAAAGGCCACAUGGGCAACAACGACAACAUAGGUAACAUGGGCCACAAGGGCAAC
Molecule: long non-coding RNA, 2041 nt
Filed under: Orbicella faveolata
Lineage: Eukaryota; Metazoa; Cnidaria; Anthozoa; Scleractinia; Merulinidae
Description: uncharacterized LOC110058471, transcript variant X1
Source: RNAcentral